GUAGGGAAUCUUCCACAAUGGACGAAAGUCUGAUGGAGCAACGCCGCGUGAGUGAAGAAGGUUCUCGGAUCGUAAAACUCUGUUGUGAGGGAAGAACAAGUACCGGAGUAACUGCCGGUACCUUGACGGUACCUCAUUAGAAAGCCACGGCUAACUACGUGCCAGCAGCCGCGGUAAUACGUAGGUGGCAAGCGUUGUCCGGAAUCAUUGGGCGUAAAGCGCGCGCAGGCGGUCCCUUAAGUCUGAUGUGAAAGCCCACGGCUCAACCGUGGAGGGUCAUUGGAAACUGGGGGACUUGAGUGCAGAAGAGGAAAGCGGAAUUCCAAGUGUAGCGGUGAAAUGCGUAGAGAUUUGGAGGAACACCAGUGGCGAAGGCGGCUUUCUGGUCUGUAACUGACGCUGAGGCGCGAAAGCGUGGGGAGCAAACAGGAUUAGAUACCCCAGUAGUCC
This 450-nucleotide ribosomal RNA is filed under the name uncultured bacterium. Its description in RNAcentral is "partial 16S ribosomal RNA". It matches the Rfam family "Bacterial small subunit ribosomal RNA", at positions 354 to 796 of the family's 1533-position model. The record is from RNAcentral.